Molecule: small RNA, 125 nt
Filed under: Marmota monax (woodchuck)
Lineage: Eukaryota; Metazoa; Chordata; Mammalia; Rodentia; Sciuridae
Source: RNAcentral
GCUGGGCGCGGUGGUGCACGCCUGUAAUCCCAGUGGCUUGGAAGGCCAAGGCAGGAGGACUGCGAGUUCAAAGCCAGCCUUAGCAAAAGCGAGGCACUGAGCAACUCAGUGAGACCCUGUCUCUA